AUGGGGAUGCAGCAAUCCAAGGAGGAGCUGCUGUACCAGCAGGUGAACUACGGCAACAUCGAGGGGAUUCGGAACCUCCGGGCGCAGGGCGCAGGCGUUGAGUGGAUUGACAAGGAAGGGAAGACGCCCCUGAUGGUCGCCAGCAUGCGCCCUGAUCUGCUGAAUGUGGCUAAAGCUUUGAUCGAACUGGGUGCAAAUGUGAAUGCAUAUCGGCCUGGAUCACACGCUGGGACUGCAUUGCACCAUGCUGCCAAAAAAGGACUUGAUCCGACUGUCCAUUUACUUCUCUCACAUGGAGCUAACCCAUUCAUAACAAAUGAUGACUGCAAUACCGCACUUGACCUGGCUAGAGAAAAGGGUCAUGUGAACGUUGUAAGGGCCAUAGAGGGACGGAUUUCUCUUUUUUCUGGAUGGAUGAGGGAGAAUUAUGGUCCUGGUUUCUUGGAAGCGUUUGCUCCUCAAUUCAUGACUAGGAAGAUUUGGGCAGUGAUUUUACCACGUGAAGCACGGAGCCCGACAAGACCUGUGAAGCUUGAGUUAGCUAUAUAUCCUGAAUUGCAGGCUGCGAAACCUCGUGUUGUUGUCAAACUUUGGAAAUCUCAACUUGAGGAACCAAAGUAUAAUCUGGCUGAUCCUUCCAUGACAAUUUUUGACAAAGUUACAAUGAUUCCUCCUGCUCUCUACAGAGCUCGUGCACACAUGUAUGUAGUGAUUCAUUUUGCUCUUUAUACAAAGUGCAUAUCUCUGUGCAAAUGUUCUGUUGGAAAAUGGACUAUAGAAUCUCGAUACAAGCUUUUACCGGCUUAUGAAGGUGACAAGCAGCAGCUUCGAUCAUUUUAUAGUGCAUGUUGUGGCAUGGCACAGGUUGCCAGCAUGGUUCCUGCACGACCAGUGAAUGCCCCCAGUCCAAAUCCAACUCCAAAUCCGUCUUCGGCACCUUCAGCGGAAUCGACUCCCAGUAAGGAGGAUGUUGAGUUAGCGAUGGCUAUCAAUGCCUCCAUCCAAUCAGCUAUAGCAGAGGGAGUGCCCAAUGUGCAGCCAAUGGCAUCAACGAACAGCUCUCUCAACGGAUGGGGCUCACCAAAUUCUCCAGCGCCUUCAAAAACGAGUGGCCAAGCACAGGUUGAUGCUCCAAGCAGCAGCAAAUACAAUGGAUGGGAUGUACCUGGAACAAGCUCUAACCAAAGUUCAUCGAAACCUAACAAAAGUCAAAACAACAACCCUUCGAUUGUGAUUCCACCUGAGGCACUUCCAGUUCCAACACCAACUGCACUUCCGGUUCCAACACCAACUGCACUUCCAACUCUUCCAACACCAACUGCGCCACCACUUGCUGAAGGAACCUUCUACGAUGGCCCUAUUGAGUAUCCGUCCAUAGAUUUCACACCAGUUGAUGUAACCAUGCCACCCACGGAAGGUGGUGGUACGGCGCUAAACUCUGCAAAACCUGUAGAAAAUGAAGCCGUUGCAAGCAGCAGUGGUAACACCCCCUCUGGUACUUGUGUGAUUUGCUUGGAUGCUCCUGUGGAAGGAGCCUGCAUUCCAUGUGGUCACAUGGCUGGUUGCAUGUCCUGCUUGAAGGAUAUCGAGUCGAAGAAAUGGGGGUGCCCCAUUUGUCGUGCCAAGAUCAACCAGAUUAUCCGCCUGUAUGCAGUUUGA
This 1659-nucleotide ribosomal RNA is filed under the name Triticum aestivum (bread wheat). Its description in RNAcentral is "partial small subunit ribosomal RNA". Lineage: Eukaryota; Viridiplantae; Streptophyta; Magnoliopsida; Poales; Poaceae. The record is from RNAcentral.